CAUGUUUUCAGUGAGACGACUUUCUGAGCUCCUGAGAAAUAUCUGGAAGAAGUCCUGUGCUUCUCUUAUUGCCAGCUUCAGGAGAACCAGAAGAGCAAUCAACUGUCAUCAGUGAGCGAGGAGCAAAUCAUGCUGGGCGGGGAAUUCGUUUCCACGUCGGCAAUUAAGGCCUGCGGAUUGUGGCUGCUGCCUGGUUCACGGAGCCGGGCCCGAGUCCUCUUGUUGGAACUUCAGCCGCCUCUGUGACCCUGCCGACCAAGCGAGCCCGUCUUCCGACCGCCGCUCGGGAUCAAGAGCUCCUCCUCGGCUGGCGUGGGAUACCUAAUCGGGGCCGGGGGAGCGCGGGUCACCUCAGCCCGGCCGUGGGCAGGUAGCGAUGUGCUCACUGGCAGAUGGUGGCCAUUACCGACGCUCCGCGAAGGCCGCGUGGAGAGGCGGGCACCGAGUGUUUCCUUGAGAGACCCUAAAGUGUCCGUCACCGGGGCUUCAUCUAUUGCCCUCUGGAGUUCCUCGGGCCGACUCACUGCC
Tachyglossus aculeatus (Australian echidna) is the source of this 528-nucleotide long non-coding RNA. RefSeq lists it as uncharacterized. NCBI's taxonomy places the organism in Eukaryota, Metazoa, Chordata, Mammalia, Monotremata, Tachyglossidae. The record is from RefSeq and is a predicted model, not a curated record. The transcript has 3 exons.